This 385-nucleotide long non-coding RNA is filed under the name Panicum hallii. RNAcentral's name for it is "long non-coding RNA (PHAL_LNC000002)". The record is from RNAcentral. Lineage: Eukaryota; Viridiplantae; Streptophyta; Magnoliopsida; Poales; Poaceae.
UCAGAAACCAUAAUAAGCAGGAAGGUCACAGCUGAAGCACUAGUGUAUUUGUUCAGAACAUACGGGUAUAUGUCACUCAAGUACUCAACGUGCUAGUACAUGCCAAAGGAUUCGACUUGCCCUGCAGAAGCGAGAAGCCACAGACGAGACGAACUGCGUAGGAAUCAGAUCCCCCUUCCUCCGCUCCGGCGUCCCCGCCGCCGCUGCCGGGGAAGAGCGGAAGCCACGGUGCCGCCGACGCGACGCCGGCAGCAGCUCAUCAUCAAGGCCGGCGAUGCGCCAGAGCCUCCUGAGCAGAGCAGCAUUGGCAUGGCGGCCACCACCACCGUGCCAGGAUCUAUCUCAUCUCAUCUCAUCUCAUGCCUGGAUCCAGAUCGAGGCGUAC